RNAcentral lists this non-coding RNA (105 nucleotides) under Pedobacter sp. Its description in RNAcentral is "SAM-I sequence". It matches the Rfam family "SAM riboswitch aptamer (S box leader)". Rfam says of the family: The SAM riboswitch is found upstream of a number of genes which code for proteins involved in methionine or cysteine biosynthesis in Gram-positive bacteria. The SAM riboswitch acts at the level of transcription termination control. Lineage: Bacteria; Pseudomonadati; Bacteroidota; Sphingobacteriia; Sphingobacteriales; Sphingobacteriaceae. RNAcentral also lists the same sequence under 1 other name. The record is from RNAcentral.
UACUUAUCAAGAAAGGUGGAGGGAAUGGCCCUGUGAAACCUUAGCAACCCGCCGUAGCUGGAAAAGGUGCUAAUUCCAUCCCAAAGUUUUUGGGGUAGUUAAGUC